GCCUAGCAAAUAUCUCCCUUUCGUUGCGAUAGUGUGAAAAUGUGAAAGGAGAUCGUUUCUGGCAACGCUUUAUGCUAGUUGCUACGGUGCAAAACAAACUUGUUUGUUUAUGUUUAUCGUUGCUGUAUUGCAACAAAUUCAAAGGUACACUCCAGCUAAUCGAUGGAUGAAGAAUUGCGUUAUAAGAAAAUUUGUUUGCUCUGUCAUAGCAAAUUUGUGGACACCAUGCUUAAUGCACUGAUAAAAGGACAAGUUACGAAAAUUCAGUCCAAAACCGAAAAAAAAACAACGCGCAACAGGAUAUUUCCGUCAAUGUGGAAAGGCCAGAAGAAUGAACGUAUCGGGAAAUAAACUAGUUCCCGUUAACGUGCAGAAAAAUACUAAAAUUACAAAACCUGACGAUACGCAAAUUGUUUUAAAAGAUUUGAAGCAUAUACCAAUAAAAGAAAUUUUGCAAAAGUAUUCUAGAUACGAAACAGAGAUGAAGGACAUUUUCAACAAGUAUAAAAAAUUUUGCGAAAGGCAAUGGCCAAAUUACAAAACGAGAAAUUUGUGCUCUGGUCAGAUGUGGUCAUGAUUAUGACUGACGACCAAAUGUAUGAAAUGGCACGCUUCUUAGAGCAAAAAUUAUGUUCCCAAGAAGAGCUUGGAAUGUAUACAGAAUUUAUAGAUGCUGUUCUAUUAGGGGAGUGGGCCCUUCGUAUUUUCAUGGACCAGUUCAAAUUCCAUCAUAAGGACGAUGCUUUACAACAUAUCAAACUGCAGGAACAGGAAUUCAGUAAAUAAAACUCAACUCCGUCUGCAAAUAUAUAAGCCCAUAAGCCACACACACAUG
Long non-coding RNA from Malaya genurostris, 835 nucleotides. RefSeq lists it as uncharacterized. The record is from RefSeq and is a predicted model, not a curated record. Lineage: Eukaryota; Metazoa; Arthropoda; Insecta; Diptera; Culicidae. The transcript has 3 exons.